ACAGCAGCCGCCGCGGUAAUACGGAGGGGGCUAGCGUUGUUCGGAAUUACUGGGCGUAAAGCGCACGUAGGCGGCUUUGUAAGUUAGAGGUGAAAGCCUGGGGCUCAACUCCAGAAUUGCCUUUAAGACUGCAUCGCUUGAACGUCGGAGAGGUGAGUGGAAUUCCGAGUGUAGAGGUGAAAUUCGUAGAUAUUCGGAAGAACACCAGUGGCGAAGGCGGCUCACUGGACGACUGUUGACGCUGAGGUGCGAAAGCGUGGGGAGCAAACAGGAUUAGAUACCCGUGUAGUCCCUGUCUCUUAUAC
RNAcentral lists this ribosomal RNA (305 nucleotides) under uncultured bacterium. Its description in RNAcentral is "partial 16S ribosomal RNA". It matches the Rfam family "Bacterial small subunit ribosomal RNA", at positions 508 to 807 of the family's 1533-position model. The record is from RNAcentral.